Protopterus annectens (West African lungfish) is the source of this 135-nucleotide small nucleolar RNA. RefSeq annotates it as small nucleolar RNA SNORA70. Lineage: Eukaryota; Metazoa; Chordata; Ceratodontiformes; Protopteridae. The record is from RefSeq and is a predicted model, not a curated record. The transcript has a single exon.
UUGCAGCCUAUUAAGCCGACUGACUGUUGUGCUGUGUCAAUAGUUGGUAUGCAAUGACUGCAUAAACUAAUAUUCUUAGGUUGUGUAUGCACUUAGUCGAUGUACUGAGUGCGCAAAGGGACCUUUGAAACACUU